AGCAGCCGCGGUAAUUCCAGCUCCAAUAGCGUAUAUUAAAGUUGUUGCAGUUAAAAAGCUCGUAGUUGAAUUUCGGGAUUGACACAUCGGUCGUGCCUUAAGGGGUAUGAACUGGUGUAGUCAAUUUCUCACCUUCUGGAGAACCACGAUGCCCUUAAUUGGGUGUCGCGGGGAACCAGGACCUUUACUUUGAAAAAAUUAGAGUGUUUAAAGCAGGCAUUUUGCUUGAAUACAUUAGCAUGGAAUAAUAAAAUAGGACGGCAUGAUUCUAUUUUGUUGGUUUCUAGGAUCACCGUAAUGAUUAAUAGGGAUAGUUGGGGGCAUUAGUAUUCAAUUGUCAGAGGUGAAAUUCUUGGAUUUAUUGAAGACUAACUACUGCGAAAGCAUUUGCCAAGGAUGUUUUCAUUAAUCAAGAACGAAAGUUAGGGGAUCGAAGACGAUCAGAUACCGUCGUAGUCUUAACCAUAAACUAUGCCGACUAGGAUCGGAUGAUGUUAAUUUUUAAUGUACUCGUUUGGCA
RNAcentral lists this ribosomal RNA (520 nucleotides) under uncultured Entrophospora. RNAcentral's name for it is "SSU rRNA". It matches the Rfam family "Eukaryotic small subunit ribosomal RNA", at positions 569 to 1085 of the family's 1831-position model. Lineage: Eukaryota; Fungi; Glomeromycota; Glomeromycetes; Entrophosporales; Entrophosporaceae. The record is from RNAcentral.